Molecule: long non-coding RNA, 335 nt
Organism: Arabidopsis thaliana (thale cress)
Lineage: Eukaryota; Viridiplantae; Streptophyta; Magnoliopsida; Brassicales; Brassicaceae
Product: other RNA
Exons: 2
Source: RefSeq
CGUCUGUGGGGACGGAUGAUUCUUGAGUCAUCAGCUUUUUUCUGUGUGUUACAUACCCGAAGUGAUCCGCAAUGUCAGGAGAGGAUACUACCAACGCUUCGAUAGCCGAAACCCUCAAGACCAUGCAACAAACUAUGGCCGAUAUGGCGCAGAAGUUUUCAAACGUGGAAAAAACUGUCGAAACACUGCAAACAACCCAGGAUUCUAGAGUUCGAAGAACUAUCUUCGGAUCCCCAAAUUCCCUUCCGCGAAAUGCAAAAAGUGAUCAAACGACCCCGGAGGGUACAAACGCGGAGAAUCAACCAGAAGACGGAGAAACGCAUCCCGAGGACGAU